AACGAACGCUGGCGGCAUGCCUAACACAUGCAAGUCGAACGAGACCUUCGGGUGUAGUGGCGUACGGGCUCGUAACACGUGGGAAUCUGCCCUUUGCUUUGGAAUAACUGUUAGAAAUGACUGCCUAUAGCGGAUGAUGUCGAAAGACCAAAGAUUUAUCGGCAAAGGAUGAGCCCGCGUAGGAUUCGGUAGUUGGGGGGGUAAAGGCCUACCAAGCCGACCAUUCUUAGCUGGUCUGAGAGGAUGAUCAGCCACACUGGGACUGAGACACGGCCCAGACUCCUACGGGAGGCAGCAGUGGGGAAUAUUGGACAAUGGGCGGAAGCCUGAUGCAGCAAUGCCGCGUAAGUGAUGAAAGCCUUGGGGUUGUAAAGCUCUAUUACCAGGGAUGAUAAUGACAGUACCUGAAGAAAAAGCUCCGGCUAACUCCGUG
Molecule: ribosomal RNA, 433 nt
Filed under: uncultured bacterium
Lineage: Bacteria
Description: partial 16S ribosomal RNA
Rfam family: Bacterial small subunit ribosomal RNA
Source: RNAcentral